Non-coding RNA from Pelobates cultripes (western spadefoot toad), 140 nucleotides. NCBI's taxonomy places the organism in Eukaryota, Metazoa, Chordata, Amphibia, Anura, Pelobatidae. The record is from the annotation of a GenBank genome assembly.
GCCAAUUAGCAGCAGACCCUCCCUCCCAAACCCUCCCACCUCCUGGACAGCUCACUAAGAAUGCAGCUUCACAAUGAAUGUAAAAUGGAUGCUGUCCAGGAGGUGGGAGGGUCUGGGAGGGAGGGUCUGCUGCUGAUUGG